AUGAUGCAUAAUCACAUGCAAUGUCACAUACCAGCAUGUAUAUCACUGCAUUAACAGUGAAACAUUAAGUUCUGGAACACACACACUCCGGCCUGACAAAUAAAUGGUAUUAAUUAGUUACAUUUCCAUUGCCAUGUCACUAAAUUUGACUUCAUUAUUGACCUUUAGCAUUGGAAUUAUAUAUAACCAAGUUUUCUCCUAGUC
This 204-nucleotide unclassified non-coding RNA is filed under the name Hevea brasiliensis (rubber tree). Lineage: Eukaryota; Viridiplantae; Streptophyta; Magnoliopsida; Malpighiales; Euphorbiaceae. The record is from RNAcentral.